This 465-nucleotide ribosomal RNA is filed under the name uncultured bacterium. Its description in RNAcentral is "partial 16S ribosomal RNA". It matches the Rfam family "Bacterial small subunit ribosomal RNA", at positions 29 to 507 of the family's 1533-position model. The record is from RNAcentral.
AUGAACGCUGGCGGCGUGCUUAACACAUGCAAGUCGAACGAUGAAGCCCAGCUUGCUGGGUGGAUUAGUGGCGAACGGGUGAGUAACACGUGAGUAACCUGCCCUUAACUCUGGGAUAAGCCUGGGAAACUGGGUCUAAUACCGGAUAGGAGCGUCCACCGCAUGGUGGGUGUUGGAAAGAUUUAUCGGUUUUGGAUGGACUCGCGGCCUAUCAGCUUGUUGGUGAGGUAAUGGCUCACCAAGGCGACGACGGGUAGCCGGCCUGAGAGGGUGACCGGCCACACUGGGACUGAGACACGGCCCAGACUCCUACGGGAGGCAGCAGUGGGGAAUAUUGCACAAUGGGCGCAAGCCUGAUGCAGCGACGCCGCGUGAGGGAUGACGGCCUUCGGGUUGUAAACCUCUUUCAGUAGGGAAGAAGCGAAGGUGACGGUACCUGCAGAAGAAGCACCGGCUAACUACGUG